AGCUUAAUGAUAUUUUAUAUUAGGUUAGUCCUGCUCAAUGAGUAAUUUAAAUAGCCGCAGUACUUUGACUGUGCGAAGGUAGCAUAAUAAUUUGGCUUAUAAUUGAAGUCGGGAAUGAAUGGAUUUAUGGAUAUAUACUGUCUUACAUAAAUAUUAGUUAAUUUUCUAAGUAAGUGAAAAUUCUUACAAAAUGUUUUAUUAGACGAGAAGACCCUUGAAAUUUUAAUAAAUAUAAUAUUUUAAAAUAUUAAUGAUUUUUAUUGGGGCGAUAGAUUUACAAAAUAACUAAAUUUAUAUAUAACAAAUUAUAUUUCAAGUUUUACUAAUUUAAUUUAAAUUACUCAAGGGAUAACAGCAUAAUUUAUAAAUAAGUUUGUGACCUCGAUGUUGGACUAGGAAACUUUAAGUUUAGAAGAUUUAAAAGUUAAGUUCUGUUCGAACUAUUUUUCCUACAUG
This 456-nucleotide ribosomal RNA is filed under the name Stauroglypta anthoniana. Its description in RNAcentral is "partial 16S ribosomal RNA". Lineage: Eukaryota; Metazoa; Mollusca; Gastropoda; Stylommatophora; Sagdidae. The record is from RNAcentral.